GGGCAUACCGCGGCCAAGCGUCUCAAUAUGGUGACCUCCCGGGAGCGGGGAGCCACCAGGUUGCCUAAGGAGGGGUGAACCGGCCCAGGUCGGAAACGGAGCAGGUCAAAACUCCCGUGCUGAUCAGUAGUGGGAUCGCGCCU
Molecule: small RNA, 143 nt
Filed under: Cricetulus griseus (Chinese hamster)
Lineage: Eukaryota; Metazoa; Chordata; Mammalia; Rodentia; Cricetidae
Description: Metazoan signal recognition particle RNA (ENSCGRG00015025472.2)
Rfam family: Metazoan signal recognition particle RNA
About the family: The signal recognition particle (SRP) is a universally conserved ribonucleoprotein. It is involved in the co-translational targeting of proteins to membranes.
Source: RNAcentral